CGUCGGAAAUUCUUCUUAGAGGGACUGGCGGCAUCUAGCCGCACGAGAUGGAGCAAUAACAGGUCUGUGAUGCCCUUAGAUGUUCUGGGCUGCACGCGUGUUACACUGAAGGGAUCAGCGUGUCUUCCCUGACCGAGAGGUCCGGGUAACCCGCUGAACCCCCUUCGUGGUAGGGAUCGGAGCUUGCAAUUAUUCUCCGUGAACCAGGAAUGCCCAGUAAGCGCAAGUCAUAAGCUUGCGUUGAUUACGUCCCUGCCCUUUGUACACACCGCCCGUCGCUACUACCGAUUGAACGUUUUAGUGAGGUAUUUGGACUGGACCUCCGGAGGUUCGCGCCUCCGGUGCUGUUCGGGAAGACUCCCAAACUUGAGCGUUUAGAGGAAGUAAAAGUCGUAACAAGGUUACCGUAGGUGAACCUGCGGUAGGAUCAUUA
This 433-nucleotide non-coding RNA is filed under the name Daphnia pulex (common water flea). RNAcentral describes it as "Eukaryotic small subunit ribosomal RNA". It matches the Rfam family "Eukaryotic small subunit ribosomal RNA", at positions 1396 to 1831 of the family's 1831-position model. The record is from Rfam by way of RNAcentral. Lineage: Eukaryota; Metazoa; Arthropoda; Branchiopoda; Diplostraca; Daphniidae.